Molecule: long non-coding RNA, 1014 nt
Filed under: Coturnix japonica (Japanese quail)
Lineage: Eukaryota; Metazoa; Chordata; Aves; Galliformes; Phasianidae
Description: lncRNA (ENSCJPG00005012656.1)
Source: RNAcentral
AUGUGCAGACAUUACAGACUGAGCUCACAGCUGGGUCUGCUGGGGUCCGCAGUUACAAAGCCAAGCACUGCAGAGGUCUGCCUAGGAGCAGAAAGUAGGGGAACACCAAUAGAUUCACAAUGGAGCCAACCUGUGCUCGGCAAAACACAGCAAACACAUCAUUCUCUCCUGGUUGAACCCUGCAGGAACUGCAUAACCGAGCUCAAAUUAAGACUUGUUUCACCCACCCACCCAGCCCACCCCCACUUUUAUUUUUGCUUUCCUUGUACUUCAGUUUCCACAUUCCUCAUAUCACACUGUUCCAACAGCAGAUCACUGCUAAAAGCACAAACACAGGAUAAUCAAUACAAGUUUCUAUCCCACCCAGCAGGGCAGCAGCAGCACAAGGCUCCGGGCAGACCCCCAUUCAGAACCCAACGCCAGCUUCUGCUUCCUGCCCCCGGCUAUAAAGAGCCCAGCAGUCGCUGCACUCGGAGCAGCACAAGGGGCACUCAGCGGCUUUCCGAGGCUGGGCAGCCCGAGCGCACCGGGCAGCGCACCAAGGCGCUGGGAACAGCGCUAAGAACAAAGCACGGGAACCCUUUGUCUCUCGCUGCACCUACUCACGCAGUGUCUCAACGACGCAACACAGCAGGGAUCAGACCAAACAUUACACCGCAAGGACAAGCAAAUCAGCCCCGCAGGCGCAACCUCCCGCAGGGCAGCACCGAUGAGACAGCAAGGUCAGAAGGCCGCGGUGGCCGCGUCCCGCGGGGUACGGCCGGGCUGACAGCCGGCACCACCCGCACCGCUCGCCUCGGCCCCGCAGCCGCCGCCGGACGCCCGCACCGCCGCCCUGGGCCGCCCCCGGCCCCGCACUCACGCAGCCGCCGCCGCUCCGUGCCGCCGCCUGGCACCGCCCCCGGUCGCCCAGGGGCCACGUGCUUCGGGGUUCGCCCUCCUCAGGCCGCCAGCGAAAGCGAGGAGAGCUCCGUCUCCAUCCCUAAUCCCUUCUUAUCCUCGUUAGGACUUUAA